Non-coding RNA from Frankliniella occidentalis (western flower thrips), 1140 nucleotides. The record is from the annotation of a RefSeq genome assembly. Lineage: Eukaryota; Metazoa; Arthropoda; Insecta; Thysanoptera; Thripidae.
AAAAUAUUAUUAAUAGUUUAAGUAAAAUUUUAAAAAAUUUAAAUUUUUAGUAUUUAAAAAGAAAGGAAAAAACUUUUUAGAAAAGAUUAAAACUUAUAUUCCUUGUGUAUCAUGAUUUUAAGAAUUAAAAAAUUAUUUUUAAGUCUCGAAAAAAAAAGAUCUAUAAAUUAUUGGGCUUUAUGUUUCAUUAUAAUGAAAAAAAAAAAUAGAAGUAAAAAACUUUCAAUUUUUUUUAUAUCUAGUUAUUUUAGAAAUAAAUUUAAUUUAAAUAAACAAAGAUAAAAUUGAUAAUGAAGAAUUUAAGGGUUUAGCUUUAAGUUAAAAAAUAUUAUUAAGGGGGAAGAAAUAAGGAAUUAAAUUAACCUAAGAUUUAAAAAUUUUAAUUUUAAUUUAAAGAUUUAAUAAUUUUUUUUUUAUAUAAAAUAAUUUUAUAACUAUUAGAAAAAGAAUAAAAUUUAAAAAUUAGUAAAUAUUAAAAAAAAAAUAAAAACUAGGCAAAAAGAUUUUCGAAUGUUUAACAAAAACAUUGUCUCAUGAAUCUAUUAGAGAUAAAACCUGCUCAGUGAAAAUUAAACAGCAAUAAAUAAGGUAGCAUAAUAACUUGUCUUUUAAUUGAAGGCUAGAAUGAAAGGUAAAACGAAAAAUCAACUUUUUUUUUUUAAAAAUUUAAUUUGACAUUUUAGUUAAAAGGCUAAAAUAAUUAUGAAAGACGAUAAGACCCUAUAGAACUUAAUUAUAAAUUUAAAAAUUAAAAGGUAAAAAUUUUACUGGGGAAGUAAAAAAAUAAAAAUUUUUUAUUAAAAUUACUAUUAAAAGAAUAAUAAACCUUUUAAGAAAAAAAAGUUACCUUAGGGAUAACAGAGCAAAAAUUUUUUAGAGAUCAAAUCAAGAAGAUUAAAUGCUACCUCGAUGUUGAAUUAAGAAAACAUCUAAUAGAAGAAAAUUAGAUUAUAGGUCUGUUCGACCUUUAAAUUCUUACAUGAUUUGAGUUAAGACCGGUGUGAGCCAGGUUGGUUUCUAUCUUCAUAAUAGAGGUUUUUAUAGUACGAAAGGACCUAAAAACUUAAUUUUAUUAAUUAAUUAGCUUAUAAAAAGCAAGUAUUUUGAAAAUACUAGAAAGAUUUAAGAAUUUAUUAAUUU